RNAcentral lists this ribosomal RNA (432 nucleotides) under uncultured bacterium. Its description in RNAcentral is "partial 16S ribosomal RNA". It matches the Rfam family "Bacterial small subunit ribosomal RNA", at positions 355 to 778 of the family's 1533-position model. The record is from RNAcentral.
UAGGGAAUCUUCGGCAAUGGACGAAAGUCUGACCGAGCAACGCCGCGUGAGUGAAGAAGGUUUUCGGAUCGUAAAACUCUGUUGGUAGAGAAGAACGUUGGUGAGAGUGGAAAGCUCAUCAAGUGACGGUAACUACCCAGAAAGGGACGGCUAACUACGUGCCAGCAGCCGCGGUAAUACGUAGGUCCCGAGCGUUGUCCGGAUUUAUUGGGCGUAAAGCGAGCGCAGGUGGUUUAUUAAGUCUGGUGUAAAAGGCAGUGGCUCAACCAUUGUAUGCAUUGGAAACUGGUAGACUUGAGUGCAGGAGAGGAGAGUGGAAUUCCAUGUGUAGCGGUGAAAUGCGUAGAUAUAUGGAGGAACACCGGUGGCGAAAAGCGGCUCUCUGGCCUGUAACUGACACUGAGGCUCGAAAGCGUGGGGAGCAAACAGGAU